GGCACCCUAAUAAAUAUUUUAAAUUUUAUAAAUUUAAAAUAUUUUGAAAAAUAAAUGUAUUAUACUGUCAAUUAAACUCUUAGCUUCUGUUUGGUUCGGGGUUAAGGAAAAAGUAGCUAUUUCAGGGAUAGAGUUAAGUUCAGGGUUAAAGUGGGGUUAAAGUUUUUUGUAUUUUGUUGGGGGUUGGAGUUAGUCUAGAAUAAUGAAAAAUAGUGUUUGGUUGGAGUAGGUGGGAUAAGAAGAUAAUGAUUGAUAAAGAAAGAUAAUAAUUGGUUGGAGUAGGUGAGAUAAGAAAGAUAGUGGAUUAUUAUGAAUAGAAAAUAGUAUUUGGUUGGGGUUUGAUAGGGUUAGGUGGGAUUAGUUAAUCCGGAAUAACCCAUUUGAGAUGGGUUAGCUAACCCCACCUAUUUUUUAGAUUGUUUGGAAAAAGUAUGGGAGUUAAGGGGUUAUUCCAACCCUUAACCGCCACUAAACAAUAGCUUAAAAAAUAUUCUGCAAAAUAAAUUUAUAAACAAAAUUCUAAGAAAUUCUUAACUCCCGAAAUUUUUUUUUUUUUUUUGCAAAAUAAACAAAUAAAAAAAAAAACCAAAGUAACAAAAUA
Molecule: long non-coding RNA, 601 nt
Filed under: Ananas comosus (pineapple)
Lineage: Eukaryota; Viridiplantae; Streptophyta; Magnoliopsida; Poales; Bromeliaceae
Description: long non-coding RNA (ACOM_LNC023445)
Source: RNAcentral